GGGGCAGCAAGUUGGUGAUAAAAAUGGUGGCAUCUCCACGGCAGAUACGCCGCCAGUGUUUGCCUUGGGGCAGCAAGUGAGUGAUAAAAAUGGUAAUGUGAGUGCAGGUGCAGCACCUGCGAGGACUGGGAUAGCAAGAGGUGGUGGAGGUGUGCAUGUUUCAGAUGGGAGUGCCACAGGGCGUUUACCAAAGAAGAGGGGAAGGCCAAGAAAAUAUCCCUUACAAAGUUUUUAGUCUGAUAUGGACUGCAAUUUGGUGAAAAGAGACAGAUGAGAAGGUGAAGGAAGUUUUAUCUCUGUGUUGAUAGAGAUAUAAGAAGGCUCAAGGAAGAGGCUGUUAUUGCUGCCACAGUAUGGGAUGUCCAUAGGUAUUACUGUUGACUUGUAUUUAUUGUUUUUUUCUCUUUUCUUAAUUAUUGUUGUUUGUAGAGUUUAGAUGCUUUUUCUUGUGACUGACUUGUUAAUUUAAGGUGAUAUGUGGUAAUGUCAUUUUGCCAAGUUCUCACUAUGAAUUGAAGAAUUGUGUUUGAUUCAAGGCAUUCUAAAUGUGCCCAAUUUUUUGGUUUACAGGGUGGCCAAAUGGGCCGUGAGCAUGGUAGGCUACACAUCAAUGUUUGUCCUCCCUUUUUGUAUCUUUUAUCAUAAAAAUGAAAACUUCUACCAUAUUAGUGGAUGGAAUUCAAAUUUGAGAAACUCCUACUCUCCAUCUUCUUAAAGAGGAUUAUGAGAAAAUCAACCAGGCUAGGUCUAAUUAUUUGGAAAGUGCAUAAUUUGUUCUUUGUUUAGCCAAGUAUGUACCUGUUUUACUUGAAAAUUUAUAAGUGGAAAGAGAGAUUGGAACUUCAUACUACACAUUCUCAAAGAACGUAGUGAGGAAAUUAAUAAUAAUUGGUACUAAAGGUGCAUACUUUUUUUCUUUGUUUUUCCAAGUAUGUACAUUUUCUAGUUGAGGAUUUGUGAGCUCGAAAUCACCGUGUUGGUGUUCGCAUAAUUUGGGUUUAGAAUUGGUUAUUGUAUUCAUUAAUAAUCAAAUGUUUAUCCACCGAUUUCUCUUCACUCUUCCCGCCAGGUAAACAUGGAAAAAGCAAAGGCAGUAAUGAUACCAAACUCUGUCUAUUUGAUCGCAUAAUUGCCUUAUCAAGCUCCCUAAGCUCAUCAUUCUUCUUAAUUCGCUUGUUUACAAACACCGAAAACUUCCUGCUUUGCUUGUACGCCGUCAGCUUCACCUUCUUCCUCUGUCACCAUCAAACAUCAACAUUUACGCUUAUUAAAUACACAAAUUCUUGUGGAAUUUGAGAGUGAGAGAGGUGCCUUCUCGAUGGUGAUGGAUCGCGCGAGUCCCAGGCGGUGUUCUUUGCCCUUUCAUCUUUCUUGUUUAGGAUGUCGAAUUUGCAACUGGACCAAAUGGCCUUGAAAGGGGUUGUCUUUUGGAGUCUUGAGCUUCAUUGCCACGGUGCUUGGACCGGACUUUUUGUUCUUCUUGUUCUUCUUCUUGGCUUUCUUGUCACUGCCGGCUCCUUUCGCUGUCUUCGCCAUUGAAACUGUGCCAAAGGAGGGGGACAAAGAGAAAGAAGGAGCUCUGGCCGAGGGUUUAGGGUUUAGAGUAGUUUUUUUUUGCUCGGUUAUGUCGUCG
This 1633-nucleotide unclassified non-coding RNA is filed under the name Hevea brasiliensis (rubber tree). Lineage: Eukaryota; Viridiplantae; Streptophyta; Magnoliopsida; Malpighiales; Euphorbiaceae. The record is from RNAcentral.